This 441-nucleotide ribosomal RNA is filed under the name uncultured bacterium. RNAcentral describes it as "partial 16S ribosomal RNA". It matches the Rfam family "Bacterial small subunit ribosomal RNA", at positions 338 to 795 of the family's 1533-position model. The record is from RNAcentral.
CCUACGGGUGGCAGCAGUGGGGAAUAUUGCACAAUGGGGGAAACCCUGAUGCAGCGACGCCGCGUGAGUGAAGAAGUAUUUCGGUAUGUAAAGCUCUAUCAGCAGGAACGAGACAAGACGGUACCUGACUAAGAAGCCCCGGCUAACUACGUGCCAGCAGCCGCGGUAAUACGUAGGGGGCAAGCGUUAUCCGGAAUCACUGGGGGGAAAGGGAGCGUAGACGGCUGAGCAAGCCUGAAGUGAAAGGCGGGGGCCCAACCCCCGGACUGCUUUGGGAACUGUACGGCUGGAGUGCAGGAGAGGUAAGUGGAAUUCCUAGUGUAGCGGUGAAAUGCGUAGAUAUUAGGAGGAACACCAGUGGCGAAGGCGGCUUACUGGACUGUAACUGACGUUGAGGCUCGAAAGCGUGGGGAGCAAACAGGAUUAGAUACCCUUGUAGUC